This 515-nucleotide ribosomal RNA is filed under the name uncultured bacterium. Its description in RNAcentral is "partial 16S ribosomal RNA". It matches the Rfam family "Bacterial small subunit ribosomal RNA", at positions 28 to 523 of the family's 1533-position model. The record is from RNAcentral.
GAUGAACGCUGGCGGCGUGCCUAAUACAUGCAAGUCGAGCGAAUGGAUUAAGAGCUUGCUCUUAUGAAGUUAGCGGCGGACGGGUGAGUAACACGUGGGUAACCUGCCCAUAAGACUGGGAUAACUCCGGGAAACCGGGGCUAAUACCGGAUAAUAUUUUGAACUGCAUGGUUCAAAAUUGAAAGGCGGCUUCGGCUGUCACUUAUGGAUGGACCCGCGUCGCAUUAGCUAGUUGGUGAGGUAACGGCUCACCAAGGCAACGAGGCGUAGCCGACCUGAGAGGUUGAUCGGCCACACUGGGACUGAGACACGGCGCAGACUCCUGCGGGAGGAAGCAGUAGGGAAUCUUCCGCAAUGGACGAAAGUCUGACGGAGCAACGCCGCGUGAGUGAUGAAGGCUUUCGGGUCGUAAAACUCUGUUGUUAGGGAAGAACAAGUGCUAGUUGAAUAAGCUGGCACCUUGACGGUACCUAACCAGAAAGCCACGGCUAACUACGUGCCAGCCGCCGCCGUAA